GAGGGCUAGAGGACGGUUUGCCACCGAUGCUUCCGACUUUUUCCCCUGGGCGGUAAAUGUACCUUUUGAGUGUGGAAAGCUGAAAGUCGGUAGAGACUGCCUUUACCGUUUGACAGAAGUAUGGACGGGGGAUUUAGUGAUUUUGGACUACAACACCAGGAAAAAUCAGGUAGUCUUUGGAGGAUGUAAAGUCCCCGAAAGCUUCGGCCCAAUGCAACAUGCAUACACGGCAGGCCCAGCAGUGGACUGACCCUGCAGACAAGCCGGGGCCCCGGCCCAAGACAUCUCUCGACUCGAUGGAUUUGGACUACGACUUCAGGAUGGACAUAUCAAAUCCAGGACUGGUUUAGGUCUUCGUCACAAAGGCCCCUGAAGAGACCGAUAAUAAAGCUGGACAAUUGUGAACUUGUGAGAAAAUGAACUUAACGCCCACUGAGAGGUGAAAUGACCUUUUAAACAUGUGUUUGAAAUUGUGUCUUAGUUUGUCGAAUGAUCUGUCUGGGGGAUUGGGACUCGUGCAACCCAAGUACCUAUGACUGUGCCAGGGCACUGUACAAGGCAAGACCUACCUUCUCACUGGUGUGUCUUGGUGGCAGAAGAUGGACCUUUCACAAAACGGAAGACGACGAGCGAUUGGAAAGCUUUGUCAGGUAGCUUAAGAUGGUUUACCACUUAGCAGGACUUGUAUCACUGGACCAGGAGCAGAAUCCACCUUGUUUCACUCUGCACAGCGCAUAGCUGUCGGCUGGACGUCCUUAUCACUACCGAAUGUUUCCUGUCAGCUCGUCAAGGUUCCUGAGGAGCGACUCGAAGACCCUGGUGGCCGAUCGUCUAUUAGGGGAUUGCAGUGAAAAAAAUUCCUGGGAAC
This is a long non-coding RNA of Acanthaster planci (crown-of-thorns starfish), 868 nucleotides long. The record is from RefSeq and is a predicted model, not a curated record. NCBI's taxonomy places the organism in Eukaryota, Metazoa, Echinodermata, Asteroidea, Valvatida, Acanthasteridae.